Molecule: long non-coding RNA, 2940 nt
Filed under: Daucus carota (carrot)
Lineage: Eukaryota; Viridiplantae; Streptophyta; Magnoliopsida; Apiales; Apiaceae
Description: long non-coding RNA (DCAR_LNC002475)
Source: RNAcentral
CGAGAUGCUUAACGUGAACUAUCAGCCAUCACAGAGUGAAUUCAGGCCCGAAGCCAGACAAUUCAUCGAUCCAAUCAUCCAAUUCCUAGUUCACAACAACAAUGCACCCUUGCUCGUCAACCUUCACCCUUUCUAUAGCUUAGUGCACGUAAAGGAAGACAUCCCUAUGGACUUAGAAGCUCAAGCCCACCGCGAAUCCAGAAGUGCUCGUUUUGAUUACGCUACUUUCAGGUCUGCACAAACUCGUGUCCAAGACGGACCACUUAUCUACACAAACUUGUUUGAUUCAAUGGUGGACAGUGUACACGCCGCGCUAGAGAAGGCUGGCGGAUCCUCCUUGGAUGUGGUGGUCUCCGAAGUAGGAUGGCCAACGGAAGGACACUCUGCAGCUACUAUUGACAACGCCAGGACUCAUAACAACGGAUUGAUUAAUCAUGUACAGAGCAUUGGGACUCCAAAAAGACCUCAGAAGCGUAUUGAGACUUAUAUCUUCAAUUUGUUUGACGAGAACAAGAGGGAUCCGGAGGUCGAGAGGCACUGGGGAAUCUUCUGGAACAACAAACAAGCCAAGUACAACAUCAAUUUCCAAAAUCAGUGAUAAGUUUAUGUAUAAAUAGCAGUUUAGCAUUAAUAAAAGGGUUCGGGAAUGUAUGAGUACCCACGAAGAACCAAUUUUACAAACUGCUGUUUGUUUGUACCAAAGCUUUACACCAAUAUAUCAUUCGGGACACUCUCGAAUUUUUUAUCUUAUUUAAAACACUGUUUUGAGAAUUUGUAUUAGUCUUAAAAGUAAAAAAGUUAAAUUCAAAAACAAAUCGACAAUUUGAGGAGUGUUAAAGCCCUACGAGUAACACUGUGUUGAAGACCUAUGAGUAACGUUUUUAAAAUGUCGACUUGUUUUUGAAUUUAACGUUUUAUUUUUAAGACUGGUAAAAUUUCUGAAACGGUGUUUCAGAUGAGACCGAAAAUUCGAAGGUGCCCCGAUGAUAUAUUGGUGUGAAGAGAGUGUCCAAUUUGAUAAUUAAAUUAAUUUUAAAUCAGAUUUUUCAUAUUUCGUAUAUUUUUAUAUGUAUGAAAAAAGAUAUUUUUCGUGUAACAAAUUAGAGUUAGAACGGGUUACGUAAUGGUUCGUGAGUUAAAAAGAGUUAUAUGAGGAUUCUUGUUAAAAAAAUAUUCAAAUUGUAUAUUUAUAAUUUUAUUUUAACUUCAUUAUAAUUAUUUUAUGAAAUAUUAUAUGAUAAUGUAUUGUGAUAAGUGUUUUCAGUAUUUAUGACUGUUUAACAAUAUAGGAGUAAUAGAGCUCCAUAUGUUAUAAACUUCUAAUUCCAUAGGGAGAGUACCAAAAAAAAACAUAAACAAAAAAAAUUUUGAACAACAAAUUAUAUUUAUGUUGACAUAUUAUAGCAUAGUAUAGAUGUAUUCUAAUCUUGGGAUUUUAAUACAAGAGCAUCUUGAACUCAGAUUUAGCCAACCAAUUUUAGUCAAUCUCGUUGGGAUGCUCUAGUAAGUUUAAGUCAAAUUAAUGAUGGAGUUCAGUGUUUUAAAAAGUAAAAAUUGGUAAAAAAAAACAUGAAAUAAGAAUUAAUUGAAUUAGUCAUAAUUAAUCAUAUAAUUAUAUAUUUAACCGGUUCGAAGAGUAUGGAACAGAGACUAAUCAAAAUUAAUCACCGAUUUCUUGAAUAAUAGCGGAGUCUAGCUGUUGGAGGACAGGCCUUUCGGCCCAAUUCGCUAAGGCCCAAGAGGCCCAGCCCACUAUUUAAAUUACUUAAAUGUUACCAUUGUAACAUUCGGGGACGGAGAUCACGCCGCAUUAAAGCCCCACUAUUCUCCUCCCGCAUCGGGCGGAACCAUUACACACCCAGGAGCUCUCUUCCCCCUAUAAAUAACUGGUAAAUGAUGGGUAAUACUCAAUUACACACUCAAGUACACACUUUUCUUACGCUUGCAGUUCCAACUUAGGACCACUAAUUUAUUCUCACGCCGGAGGUGAAUCGGAGAGAUAAUCCCUCGCAUUCUUCUCCUUUUCAGGUCACAUUCAGGUUUCGGCAUCUGGCUGAAUCUUGGUUCCAACACUAGCAUAACGUACAUAUUAGCUACGAUGUUCGGUAUAAUCUUAACAAUAUAUACUGAUUUGACCUAUAUCAAAUUUGUUCAAAAAAUUGAGAGUCUAAAUAUAUAUUUAAUUUGUACUCCCAAAUAAUUUUUGAGUUAGAUUUGUUUUUUUUUUUAAAUUUACUAACGUGUAUAAAUUUAUUAUUGCAGGUGCUCUGAGGAACGACAACCAAGCGCAACCUGUAGGUGUUACCUAUGGAACAUUUGCUGACAAUCAACCGUCAGCUCAAGAAGCCGUGGGUCUUGUCCAAUCUGUCGGGAUCAGGAGAAUUAGACUUUAUGGCCCGGACCAUAAUGCUCUGAAUUCCCUCAGGAACACGGGCAUUGAAGUUGUGCUUGGCGUCCCCAACGACCAUCUCCCGUGGAUUGCCUCUAACCAAGACAACGCCAAGCAGUGGAUCCAAGGCAAUGUCCAAAACUAUCAGAACGUCAAUUUCAGGUUCAUUGUUGUUGGCAAUGGAAUUACUCCGUUCCACGACCAGACUUCCUAGUUCGCGCAGUUUGUCCUCCCUGCCAUGCAAAACAUCCAGAACGCAAUUUCUGCAUUCGGCCUCCAGAACAAAAUGAGAGUCACCACAGCCGUGGACCAAUCCGAGAUGCUUAACGUGAACUAUCAGCCAUCACAGAGUGAAUUCAGGCCCGAAGCCAGACAAUUCAUCGAUCCAAUCAUCCAAUUCCUAGUUCACAACAACAAUGCACCCUUGCUCGUCAACCUUCACCCUUUUUACAGCUACGUGCACGUAAAGGAAGACAUCCCUAUGGACUUAGAAGCUCAAGCCCACCGCGAAUCCAGAAGUGCUCGUUUUGAUUACGCUACUUUCAACUCUG